GCAUAACGUCGCAAGACCAAAGAGGGGGGACCUUCGGGCCUCUUGCCAUCAGAUGUGCCCAGAUGGGAUUAGCUAGUAGGUGGGGUAACGGCUCACCUAGGCGACGAUCCCCUAGCUGGUCUGAGAGGAUGACCAGCCACACUGGAACUGAGACACGGUCCAGACUCCUACGGGAGGCAGCAGUGGGGAAUAUUGCACAAUGGGCGCAAGCCUGAUGCAGCCAUGCCGCGUGUAUGAAGAAGGCCUUCGGGUUGUAAAGUACUUUCAGCGGGGAGGAAGGGAGUAAAGUUAAUACCCUUGCUCAUUGACGUUACCCGCAGAAGAAGCACCGGCUAACUCCGUG
RNAcentral lists this ribosomal RNA (343 nucleotides) under uncultured bacterium. RNAcentral's name for it is "bacterial SSU rRNA". It matches the Rfam family "Bacterial small subunit ribosomal RNA", at positions 171 to 507 of the family's 1533-position model. The record is from RNAcentral.